UCCUGGGAAACCUCAGACAGAGCCUUGUGCUGGGAGGCUCCGGGGAGGGAAUGGAGAAUUCUCUCUGACUGCCCCGGCUUGCUUUCUCAUGCUAUUGCCCCGCAGGGACCUACGCCUCCUCUGUUCAGUCUGGACAUGUGUAUGACUUUGGUCCAACCACUGUCCCUCUGAUUCCUUCCUCUUGGCAGGAAGCUAAGGGAGGGCUGGGUGUGUGGCCCCAACCCCAGGCCCUCGUUGAAGGGCAAAGGUCCCAGACCUCUCAUCUUUAUCGUGGAUGUCUUUUCCUUGCCGCUCUCUUCUCCCCACUCCCAGCCCCAGCCAGACCCCUCUUGUGAGACUGACAGCGACGAGGAGAUCUUGGAGCAGAUACUGGAGUUGCCUCUCCAGCGGCUGUGCAGCAAGAAGCUGUUCAGCAUCCCCGAGGAGGAAGAAGAGGAGGAUGAGGAGGAAGGGCUGGGGAAACCAGGGCCCAGCAGCUCUUCCCAAGACCCUAGCCAGCCUGAACGUGCAUUGCUAGGUCUGGACUGUGAGAGCAGUCAGCCCCAGGGACCUGGCCUAUGUCCCUUGUCUCCUGAGCUCUCCGGGGCCAGGGAGCACCUGGAGGAUGUGCUAGGAGUAGUUGGUGGAAACAGCC
Molecule: long non-coding RNA, 634 nt
Filed under: Rattus norvegicus (Norway rat)
Lineage: Eukaryota; Metazoa; Chordata; Mammalia; Rodentia; Muridae
Description: long non-coding RNA NONRATT005837
Source: RNAcentral